This 371-nucleotide transfer-messenger RNA is filed under the name Bacteroidales. RNAcentral describes it as "JAAYKF01 sp012522535 Standard tmRNA". It matches the Rfam family "transfer-messenger RNA". From Rfam's summary of the family: Bacterial tmRNA, also known as 10Sa RNA or SsrA, is named for its dual tRNA and mRNA-like properties. The record is from RNAcentral. RNAcentral also lists the same sequence under 1 other name. Lineage: Bacteria; Pseudomonadati; Bacteroidota; Bacteroidia.
GGGGUUGACUUGGUUUUGACAGCAUAUGUAAGGGUAUGUAAGCAUGUCGGAUGUUGUAAGAAGGUUCCGUUAAAAGCCAACUUUCAAGCCAUAAACGGCAACAAUUACGAAUACGCAUACGCAGCUUAAUCUAGGAAUUAAGCGCGAGCUGCUUCACCAAAAGCCUCUCUUUGCGGCGUUUGGACUCGAAGUAUCGCAAAGGCAAAGAUAGUAGCAGUAGUGCCUGAAUGCUGUUGCGAAAUUUAAGGAUAAGGUGAUAAUUGGUUCGUAUGGCACCAUUUUAUCUCUCGAAAAUUAAGCCAAUACUAAACAUGUAGAAAGCAUAUUGGUGCUAUGUUUGGACGAGGGUUCGAAUCCCUCCAACUCCACUA